AACGCACAUUGCGCCCUCUGGUAUUCCGGAGGGCAUGCCUGUUCGAGCGUCAUUUCAACCCUCAAGCACUGCUUGGUGUUGGGGCACUGCUUCUAACGAAGCAGGCCCUGAAAUCUAGUGGCGAGCUCGCCAGGACCCCGAGCGCAGUAGUUAAACCCUCGCUCUGGAAGGCCCUGGCGGUGCCCUGCCGUUAAACCCCCAACUUCUGAAAAUUUGACCUCGGAUCAGGUAGGAAUACCCGCUGAACUUAA
This 251-nucleotide unclassified non-coding RNA is filed under the name uncultured fungus. RNAcentral's name for it is "partial contains 5.8S ribosomal RNA, internal transcribed spacer 2, and large subunit ribosomal RNA". The stretch from base 1 to 52 matches the Rfam family "5.8S ribosomal RNA", at positions 103 to 154 of the family's 154-position model. The record is from RNAcentral. Lineage: Eukaryota; Fungi.